CCACCGUGGGACCAGUCUCCAAAUCAGGAACUUCCUCUAAUUCUGAGAGACCCUGAAAACAAGACAGGUGUGAAGCAAGCAAACUAUAAGGUACCUCCUGCAGCUCCUGGUAGUGCAGAUUCUGGCUCCAGCAGCAUCCUGGCUUCCUCUGGCUCAGCAGGAACAGGGAGUAUGCUGAGACCAGCACUCCGCCUAGGGUGAAGGCCUCAGCACUGAGCUCCAGCACCAGCAAACCGGCUAGCUGUAGGUAGAUAGGGCUGAGGGUGUGCUGCAGGGGACCCUGCACCUAUUUGCCCCUGCCCUUUCCCCUCCUCUGGCCUCCUCAUCCCCCCACAUUCUCCUUUAUUCACUUGUACCUGGGAGGGGACAGUUGGGGCAGACAUCAAGGCUGUCUUCGCCACUUCGACCACCAACGCGAUGAAGCCCAAGAUCAGAUUGAAGGUGUUGAACAGCAUCAUGGCGUGCACCUGCCAAGACGGGGUGCUCUGCGCAGCUCAAGGGUUACAAUCCCAGUGAGGAGACCCUGAAUGAUGAGAAAGGCAAGUGGUGAGCUCUGG
Molecule: long non-coding RNA, 557 nt
Organism: Orcinus orca (killer whale)
Lineage: Eukaryota; Metazoa; Chordata; Mammalia; Artiodactyla; Delphinidae
Exons: 3
Source: RefSeq, a predicted model, not a curated record